AAUCAACGCUGGCGGCGUGCCUCAGACAUGCAAGUCGAACGAUUAAAGCUCUCUUCGGAGAGUGCAUAGAGUGGCGCACGGGUGAGUAACACGUAAGUAAUCUACCUUCGAGUGGGGAAUACCGUCCGGAAACGGACGCUAAUACCGCAUAAUGCAGCGGCGUCGCAAGAUGACAGUUGUUAAAGAUUUAUCGCUUGAAGAGGAGCUUGCGGCGGAUAGCUAGUUGGUAAGGUAAUGGCUUACCAAGGCUACGAUCUGUAACCGGUCUAAGGGGACGGUCGGUCACACUGACACUGAAUAACGGGUC
RNAcentral lists this ribosomal RNA (307 nucleotides) under uncultured bacterium. RNAcentral's name for it is "bacterial SSU rRNA". It matches the Rfam family "Bacterial small subunit ribosomal RNA", at positions 32 to 332 of the family's 1533-position model. The record is from RNAcentral.